CGCUGCAGGGCUGAGAACAACAACUCCAUGCUUUCAACACAUGACCGUCAUCAGCCUUCGCCAUUCUGCAUCUUUACGCUUACGAUGACGUUGCCGGUACCCGCAGAAGCGCAAAACAGUGAAGGCUAUGCAGCUCUCCUGACCCCAUUUUCGUCUUGAUCAACUCCUAGCUGCGCCCUUUCCUCUUCUAAUUCCAAAAAUUCCUCCCCCACACCCUACUCGCGCUUGUGUGUGCGCCGGCCCAUCCGCAGGAUGACAAAAAAUGUUUCAUUGUAGUGUGCGCUGAGCUGGACGCCUGCUGAGAAAUCGAACAUAUCGCAAAUCACUCCACUCUGAGGGCUGCCGAGUGCGCGUGAGGUGCUGCACUGUGGAUGGUGAGGGGAGGGGGGAUGGGCGCGGGAGCUGUGGUGGCAUGUCUACUUCGGCCCUGCAGUGCCGACGGCCGGCGCGCACUGCUUGCCCUGCUCGUGUGGCGCUGUUAUAAUCCCGUGCCGCGCAUCUGAUCUGUGAGCGGGACGAUUCAUGCACAGCGAAGAUGCGAGGGGCGCCGCCGGCCCUGUGUUGCGCGUACGCUGGAUGCACCGUGCUGUCAUGAUUUCAACAAUGCAAUGUAUCUCCGUUACCGGACACGGUCGCCGACGACAACCAUUGAUUCAAAUAACCAAGAUCUGCUAUGAGUCUGUGUGUGCGCAGUGCGCUGCAGCGUGUUUGCCCCUUGCUCCUCCCUGGUCCUCCCUACUGCCCCUUCCUCCUCCCCCACACCCUACUCGCGCUUGUGUGUGCGCCGGCCCAUCCGCAG
RNAcentral lists this unclassified non-coding RNA (799 nucleotides) under Leishmania donovani. Its description in RNAcentral is "gene:unknown". Lineage: Eukaryota; Euglenozoa; Kinetoplastea; Trypanosomatida; Trypanosomatidae. The record is from RNAcentral.